AUAAUUUCCGAUAUUUAGUUU
Molecule: non-coding RNA, 21 nt
Organism: Caenorhabditis elegans
Lineage: Eukaryota; Metazoa; Nematoda; Chromadorea; Rhabditida; Rhabditidae
Source: Ensembl